AGGUAAUUAAGUACUUGUAAGCUAAAUCGAGCAGGCAAUGAAGUACCAUUUUUAGCAUUUUGUUCUUGAUGUUGAAGACAAAUGACAUCUUAUUUCGGUCUCCAUGUUUCCUUGUUCAGUUUAUGAGCUGUUAAUGGUGUUUUCUGGUGUUCAGUUGAGAGAUGCCCUCUGAGAUGGAUAAUCAACUGCUGAGCCUUCUCAUACCAUCGUCUUUUUGGACGUGGAGAAUGUCAGUUCACUGUAGAGUAGCUUGGCUGGUGAUAAUGGUAAUAAUAUGGGAUCAUGGCAUGUAACUCAUAUUUGCAAGAUUAAUUGCUAAUGGUCAUGAGGUCUGCUGUUCAUUUUCUCCAAAAUGUCGUCUCUUGGUUUAUGUUGCACGUUUCGUCACAUUCAGUACUUAAGAUUAAUGGAGUCUGAAAGCUUCUUUAUUGCUUUACGUGUACGUGGUGAUUGCUGUUUAAUGAAGGUUCUCUAAGAGGGUCUCUACUACAUUGAAAGACAAUAUAGUGAUGGAAAUAGGAAAUCUAAAUGAAAGAGUAAUAAUGUUCCCAUGGUCAGUUUGAUGUUUGAGCUGGUUCGUUGUGGCUGUUUGGUGUGCAGUGAUCUUGCAGGAGAAAUGCGUUAAAAAGGGACAAAGUGCCGCAACAAGUUGGCAACAUGGCAAUCUUAUCACCGAGCCUGACGCCGUCUGCUAUGGAAACUGUCAGUCACGUUUUUCGUGAUUAUUGCGGUCAGCUUCAACAUUCUUCUUCACAAAUGUCUCAAAGGAUUAAUGGUUUGGUGAGGCUGAGCCUUUUAAUGGUGGUCAAAAGUCCACAUGGACUUGUUGCAGCCAACUGGUGAAGGGUGUGGGGAAGCCCUGCAUGCCAUCUGUGGUGUUGGUCUGAAAUGUUUUCAUUGCUUCAACUAGUUUCCAUCGUCAAUAAGAAGCUAGAAAGUGUGUUGCUCUUUGGUGUGCAGUUCAUGUUUGGGUGGUUGUGUUGCAGCCAGCUGGUGAGAGGGAGUUCAAGUUGAGUUGAGCUGAAGGUUAAUGAACCAGUCGAUAAUGCUGGUGUUUAAAGUUGAAUAUCAAUGAAGACAUCUUGAAAUGGAGUUGGUGACAAUGUGAUAUUCAAUCUGCUGCAUGCAGUUUUUGUCAUCAAUAAGUGGAGCAGUAAGACUAGAAGCAAAGCUGCAAGAAAAGGAAAUGGUCUUGGAGGAAAUGUGCAGUUCGCAGUCUGACUCCUGUUCAAGAAGCUCCUAUCCUGGAUUGUGCUGGAAUCUGAAGUAGCUGAUCCUGAAGGUGUUUUGUUGGAGUUUUCUUGAAGAAGCUGAUGUUGGUGUUAUCUACUUACUGUGCCAGUGCAACGUGUCGAUAAAAAUAUUAUAGCCAUGUAACAUGUGAUUGUAGUAACCUUAAGCUAUUUUGUUUUCUAAUGUGGCUUUUUGCAAACUGAUGUUGGGUUAUAAGUUGUGUUUCCUGAUUUUUCCCGCACCCCAUAUAUUUUUUAAAUAACUCUUGGGGUGUUGAAGCUAACUUGCAACAUUUCGUUGUGCCAUUGAAAUUUACUUUUGACACUUAUAUGUGAAAUGUUGAAAUAAAUAAAAACAACAAAUUUUAUGAAA
RNAcentral lists this long non-coding RNA (1605 nucleotides) under Daphnia pulex (common water flea). Its description in RNAcentral is "uncharacterized LOC124193370, transcript variant X4". The record is from RNAcentral. Lineage: Eukaryota; Metazoa; Arthropoda; Branchiopoda; Diplostraca; Daphniidae.